GCGCACGCUGGCGGCAGGCUUAACGCAUGCAAGUCGAGCGGGCACUUUCGGGUGUCAGCGGCGGACGGGUGAGUAACGCGUGGGAACGUGCCCUCUGGUUCGGAAUAACUCAGGGAAACUUGAGCUAAUACCGGAUACGCCCUUUUGGGGAAAGGCUUGCUGCCGGAGGAUCGGCCCGCGUCUGAUUAGCUAGUUGGUGAGGUAACGGCUCACCAAGGCGACGAUCAGUAGCUGGUCUGAGAGGAUGAUCAGCCACACUGGGACUGAGACACGGCCCAGACUCCUACGGGAGGCAGCAGUGGGGAAUAUUGGACAAUGGGCGCAAGCCUGAUCCAGCCAUGCCGCGUGAGUGAUGAAGGCCUUAGGGUUGUAAAGCUCUUUUAUCCGGGACGAUAAUGACGGUACCGGAGGAAUAAGCCCCGGCUAACUUCGUG
Molecule: ribosomal RNA, 434 nt
Filed under: uncultured bacterium
Lineage: Bacteria
Description: partial 16S ribosomal RNA
Rfam family: Bacterial small subunit ribosomal RNA
Source: RNAcentral